GACUACAGGGGUAUCUAAGCCUGUUUGAUCCCCACGCUUUCGUGCAUGAGCGUCAGUUUCUGCUUGGUGAGCUGCCUUCGCGAUCGGUGUUCUGUGUCAUAUCUAAGCAUUUCACCGCUACAUGACACAUUCCGCCCACCUCAACAGUACUCAAGAAUAACAGUAUCAAUGGCAGUUCUACAGUUGAGCCGUAGGAUUUCACCACUGACUUAUUAUUCCGCCUGCGCACCCUUUAAACCCAAUGAAUCCGGAUAACGCUUGCAUCCUCCGUAUUACCGCGGCUGCUGGCACGGAGUUAGCCGAUGCUUAUUCUUACGGUACCAUCAGCUCCGGUACACGACCGAAGGUUUUUUCCCGUAUAAAAGAAGUUUACAACCCAUAGGGCCUUCAUCCUUCACGCGGCAUGGCUGGGUCAGACUUGCGUCCAUUGCCCAAUAUUCCUUACUGCAGCCCCCCGUAGG
Molecule: ribosomal RNA, 461 nt
Filed under: uncultured Bacteroidota bacterium
Lineage: Bacteria; Pseudomonadati; Bacteroidota
Description: uncultured Bacteroidetes bacterium partial 16S ribosomal RNA
Source: RNAcentral